GUACUCUCACACUUCCAAUUCUUUGGAUUGGGAGCGGUGGACUUGGGUGCUGCUGCUUACCGUGGCUCACCUCAAAUGUGUUAGUGCAACCGUUGGUUAGACAUAGUACAGCGUGAUAAGUAUCUUCGCUGGCGCCUCACUCGAGGGUGGCUGAUCAGGGCUCUGUGCUCCCAAUCGUCUUCGGACAAUCACUGACA
Molecule: unclassified non-coding RNA, 197 nt
Filed under: uncultured Sebacina
Lineage: Eukaryota; Fungi; Basidiomycota; Agaricomycetes; Sebacinales; Sebacinaceae
Description: sequence contains ITS2
Source: RNAcentral